GCACUGAUGGGGUAGUGGUAACCUCAGUCGUUGCCAGUUCAUUUGGUCCUAGUUCGACUGGCCGCGAGUUCGAUUCUCGCUCAGUGCA
Heliocybe sulcata is the source of this 88-nucleotide non-coding RNA. The record is from the annotation of a GenBank genome assembly. Lineage: Eukaryota; Fungi; Basidiomycota; Agaricomycetes; Gloeophyllales; Gloeophyllaceae.